CCUACGGGAGGCAGCAGUGAGGAAUAUUGGUCAAUGGACGAGAGUCUGAACGAGCCAAGUAGCGUGAAGGAUGACUGCCCUAUGGGUUGGAAACUUCGUUUAUAUGGGAAUAAAAUGGUCCACGUGUGGGAUUUUGUAUGUACCAUAUGAAUAAGGAUCGGCUAACUCCGUGCCAGCAGCCGCGGUAAUACGGAGGAUCCGAGCGUUAUCCGGAUUGAUUGGGUUUAAAGGGAGCGUAGGUGGAUUGUUAAGUCAGUUGUGAAAGUUUGCGGCUCAACCGUAAAAUUGCAGUUGAAACUGGCAGUCUUGAGUACAGUAGAGGUGGGCGGAAUUCGUGGUGUAGCGGUGAAAUGCUUAGAUAUCACGAAGAACUCCGAUUGCGAAGGCAGCUCACUGGACUGCAACUGACACUGAGGCUCGAAAGUGUGGGUAUCAAACAGGAUUAGAUACCCGAGUAGUC
This 460-nucleotide ribosomal RNA is filed under the name uncultured bacterium. RNAcentral's name for it is "partial 16S ribosomal RNA". It matches the Rfam family "Bacterial small subunit ribosomal RNA", at positions 338 to 795 of the family's 1533-position model. The record is from RNAcentral.